Molecule: ribosomal RNA, 295 nt
Filed under: uncultured bacterium
Lineage: Bacteria
Description: partial 16S ribosomal RNA
Rfam family: Bacterial small subunit ribosomal RNA
Source: RNAcentral
GGAUUAGAUACCCUGGUAGUCCACGCCGUAAACGAUGUGUGCUAGUUGUUGGGGCCACAGGUCCCGGUGACGGAGCGAAAGUAUUAAGCACACCGCCUGGGGAGUACGGCCGCAAGGUUAAAACUCAAAGGAAUUGACGGGGACCCGCACAAGCGGUGGAGCAUGUUGUUUAAUUCGAAGCAACGCGAAGAACCUUACCCACUCUUGACAUCCUCCUUGGGACUUUCAGAGAUGAUUGUCUUCGGUUCGGCCGGGGGAGUGACAGGUGCUGCAUGGCUGUCGUCAGCUCGUGCCG